GAUGCGGCGGCUCAGGAGAAAUAUGUCAAACUGGUUACAACGCGUUGGCGAUCUAUCCGGGACCGCUUCAGGAGGGAUUACAACAAGGAGGUUCAGGCCCCGAGUGGCUCCGGAGGAACCUCAGGGGCCACCUACAUCCAUACGGCGGCCCUGGGGUUCCUACGAAAGGCAAUGGCACCAAAAAGAAGUGCCAGCAGCACUCGGGAGCCUGACCAACCUCCUGAGGCGGAACCGGAACAGAUC
Bufo bufo (common toad) is the source of this 243-nucleotide long non-coding RNA. RefSeq lists it as uncharacterized. The transcript has 3 exons. NCBI's taxonomy places the organism in Eukaryota, Metazoa, Chordata, Amphibia, Anura, Bufonidae. The record is from RefSeq and is a predicted model, not a curated record.